UUUAAUUUUCAAAUAGCGGUUCUUUAGGCGUGGGAGGCUAAGUCUUUGUUUCCUUGGGAACCCUAAUCUUCUUUUUCAAUAUAGAAAAGCCAAUCAUCUUUCCAUUUCUUGCUUUUGCUUUUAUCAUUAGAAGAGACCAAUAGGGGUCCAGCUUAUCAGUGAUUCCUCUCCUUUUUUAGAUUUCAUGUUUUCUUUUCUUUUCUUUCCCUUGGAAAAUCAAAAAGAAAACAGAAAAAGAUCUAGGAAAAUCUCUUGUGCAAAGGAGCCAUGGGGUUGAUAUUAAAACUCUGAUAAAUACAUUUCUAUUGUAUAUCAAAUCAGUUUUAACUGGGUAUUAUUGAAGUUUAUUAUUUUAAG
Molecule: unclassified non-coding RNA, 357 nt
Filed under: Hevea brasiliensis (rubber tree)
Lineage: Eukaryota; Viridiplantae; Streptophyta; Magnoliopsida; Malpighiales; Euphorbiaceae
Source: RNAcentral